UACGAAGGGUGCAAGCGUUACUCGGAAUCAUUGGGCGUAAAGGGCGUGUAGGCGGUUUGUUAAGUCAUGUGUGAAAUCCCUCGGCUCAACCGGGGAACGACGCAUGAAACUGGCAAGCUAGAGUACCAAAGAGGGGGGUGGAAUUCCCGGUGUAGCGGUGAAAUGCGCAGAUAUCAGGAGGAACACCGGUGGCGAAGGCGGGUCUCUGGGCAACAACUGACGCUGAGGAGCGAAAGCGUGGGGAGCGAACAGG
Molecule: ribosomal RNA, 253 nt
Filed under: uncultured bacterium
Lineage: Bacteria
Description: partial 16S ribosomal RNA
Rfam family: Bacterial small subunit ribosomal RNA
Source: RNAcentral